CCUACGGGAGGCAGCAGUGGGGAAUAUUGGACAAUGGGCGCAAGCCUGACCCAGCAACGCCGCGUGAAUGAAGAAGGCUUUCGGGUUGUAAACUUCUUUUGACAGGGAAGAGUAGAAGACGGUACCUGUCGAAUAACCUACGGCUAACUCCGUGCCAGCAGCCGCGGUAAUACGUAGGUGGCAAGCGUUGUCCGUAUUUACUGGGUGUAAAGGGCGUGUAGGCGGGUUGGCAAGUCAGAUGUGAAAUCCUGGGGCUUAACCGCAGAACUGCAUUUGAAACUGGUGAGCUUGAGUACUGGAGAGGCAGACGGAAUGCCUGGUGGAGCGGUGAAAUGCGUAGAGAGUAGGAGGAACACCAGUGGCGAAGGCGGUCUGCUGGACAGAAACUGACGGUGAGGCGCGAAAGCGUGGGGAGCAAACAGGAUUAGAUACCCGGGUAGUC
This 442-nucleotide ribosomal RNA is filed under the name uncultured bacterium. RNAcentral describes it as "partial 16S ribosomal RNA". It matches the Rfam family "Bacterial small subunit ribosomal RNA", at positions 338 to 795 of the family's 1533-position model. The record is from RNAcentral.